Molecule: ribosomal RNA, 219 nt
Filed under: uncultured Lactobacillus sp.
Lineage: Bacteria; Bacillati; Bacillota; Bacilli; Lactobacillales; Lactobacillaceae
Description: partial 16S ribosomal RNA
Rfam family: Bacterial small subunit ribosomal RNA
Source: RNAcentral
UAACACCUGGAAACAGAAUGCUAAUACCGGAUAAUAACAGAUGAUGCCUAUCAACUGUUUAAAAGAUGGUUCUGCUAUCACUCUUGGAUGGACCUGCGGUGCAUUAGCUAGUUGGUAGGGUAACGGCCUACCAAGGCGAUGAUGCAUAGCCGAGUUGAGAGACUGAUCGGCCACAUUGGGACUGAGACACGGCCCAAACUCCUACGGGAGGCAGCAGCC